Molecule: ribosomal RNA, 348 nt
Filed under: uncultured bacterium
Lineage: Bacteria
Description: partial 16S ribosomal RNA
Rfam family: Bacterial small subunit ribosomal RNA
Source: RNAcentral
CCUACGGGAGGCUGCAGUGGGGAAUAUUGCACAAUGGGCGAAAGCCUGAUGCAGCAACGCCGCGUGAAGGAAGAAGGGUUUCGGCUCGUAAACUUCUAUCAACAGGGACGAAAGAAAUGACGGGACCGGAAUAAGAAGCCACGGCUAACUACGUGCCAGCAGCCGCGGGAAUACGUAGGGGGCAAGCGUUAUCCGGAAUUACGGGGUGUAAAGGGUGAGGAGGCGGCAUGGUAAGCCAGAUGUGAAAGCCUUGGGCUUAACCCGAGGAUGGCAUUUGGAACUAUCAAGCUAGAGUACAGGAGAGGCAAGCGGACUUCCUAGUGUAGCGGUGACAUGCGUAGAUAUUAG